AACGAACGCUGGCGGCAGGCCUAACACAUGCAAGUCGAACGCCCUGGCAACAGGGAGUGGCAGACGGGUGAGUAACGCGUGGGAACGUGCCCUUCGGUUCGGAAUAACUCAGGGAAACUUGAGCUAAUACCGAAUACGUGCGAGAGCAGAAAGAUUUAUCGCCGAAGGAUCGGCCCGCGUCCGAUUAGCUAGUUGGUGAGGUAAUGGCUCACCAAGGCGACGAUCGGUAGCUGGUCUGAGAGGAUGAUCAGCCACACUGGGACUGAGACACGGCCCAGACUCCUACGGGAGGCAGCAGUGGAGAAUAUUGGACAAUGGGCGCAAGCCUGAUCCAGCCAUGCCGCGUGAGUGAUGAAGGCCCUAGGGUUGUAAAGCUCUUUCUCCAGGGACGAUAAUGACGGUACCUGGAUAAGAAGCCCCGGCUAACUUCGUGCCAGCCGCCGCCGUAA
RNAcentral lists this ribosomal RNA (449 nucleotides) under uncultured bacterium. RNAcentral describes it as "partial 16S ribosomal RNA". It matches the Rfam family "Bacterial small subunit ribosomal RNA", at positions 29 to 523 of the family's 1533-position model. The record is from RNAcentral.